RNAcentral lists this ribosomal RNA (253 nucleotides) under uncultured bacterium. RNAcentral describes it as "partial 16S ribosomal RNA". It matches the Rfam family "Bacterial small subunit ribosomal RNA", at positions 524 to 776 of the family's 1533-position model. The record is from RNAcentral.
UACGGAGGGGGCUAGCGUUGUUCGGAAUUACUGGGCGUAAAGCGCGCGUAGGCGGCUUUGUAAGUUAGAGGUGAAAGCCCGGGGCUCAACUCCGGAACUGCCUUUAAGACUGCAUCGCUUGAAUCCGGGAGAGGUGAGUGGAAUUCCGAGUGUAGAGGUGAAAUUCGUAGAUAUUCGGAAGAACACCAGUGGCGAAGGCGGCUCACUGGACCGGUAUUGACGCUGAGGUGCGAAAGCGUGGGGAGCAAACAGG